GGCCCCGUAACGCAGCUCGGACGACGUGCCGGACCGCAUGUACCGGAGGACGCCGGUUCGAAUCCGGCCGGGGCCA
This 76-nucleotide transfer RNA is filed under the name Glycomyces paridis. Its description in RNAcentral is "tRNA-OTHER". It matches the Rfam family "tRNA". From Rfam's summary of the family: Transfer RNA (tRNA) molecules are approximately 80 nucleotides in length. Lineage: Bacteria; Bacillati; Actinomycetota; Actinomycetes; Glycomycetales; Glycomycetaceae. The record is from RNAcentral.